CGUCACUUGGCUGCGUGGUGACACACCCUGGAAGUAGGUUUGUUCCGUGUCUCCGAGAGCCUUUGGCCUGGGGACGCUGCCAGUGCCUUUCUCCCCGGGACACUGCCUGCUGGGCCUGCUCCCUCCGGGGCUGCCUGCCCCUCACAAGGCUGCACUUUCUCAGGGGACGUCUCUUUGGGGUCUUUCGGGUCCUUCUGAGAAGUCACACCAGUCACCAGUGACCCCCGCCCAAACACAAAACCAGAGACUGACAAAAUGUUACCAGGCUGUGAUUUUACCAGGAAGAGACUCUGGGAAAAUGACUGUUAUUGCCAUCAUUUCCCAUGAAGGAAGGACGUUUUAGCACUCAGUAAAGCUGAUGAAGGAACGCUUGGUCCAGGUUGGCAGAUGUUCCUGGAAGGUUUGGGAACCAGUGUCCUAAGGAGACUCACUCUGGCCUAGAGGCCCAGCAAGGAAAGCUAAAGCACCAUUAGAUGAAGUACCAUUAGGGAAGCCAUCAGCCCUCCUAAAAACAGCAGCCUCCUUUCCCUACGGCUUACCCCUGCGGCUUCAUCAAUC
RNAcentral lists this long non-coding RNA (558 nucleotides) under Equus asinus (donkey). Its description in RNAcentral is "lncRNA (ENSEASG00005028680.1)". The record is from RNAcentral. Lineage: Eukaryota; Metazoa; Chordata; Mammalia; Perissodactyla; Equidae.